AAUAAACAAAGGGCAUAUGGGGGAUACCUAGGUAUCAAGAGUCGAAGAAGGGCGUAAAAACCGACGAUAUGCUUCAUGGAGCUGGCAUUAAGCUAUGAUAUGAAGAUUCCCGAAUAGGAUAACCUUUAAAACAUUUUUCUGAAUGCAUAGGAAAAAAUGAGAAAACCAAGUGAACUGAAACAUCUUAGUAGCUUGUGGAAAAGAAAGCAAAAGCGAUUCCCGGAGUAGUGGCGAACGAAAUGGGAACAGCCCAAAAGUUAACUUAUUUGAUUAACUGGUUGAGGGAGUCCAAAAUCUUAAAAUUAUAUAUUUACGCGAAUUGUUUGAAUGACAAACCAAAGAAAGUGAUAGUCUUGUAGCUUAAAAUUUAUAAAACUAAAGAGUGACAUCCCAAGUAGCAUGAAACAUGUGGAAUUUCGUGUGAAUCUGCGAGAACCACCUCGUAAGGCUAAAUACUCCUUGAUGACCGAUAGUGAACAGUACCGCGAGGGAAUGGUGAAAAGAACCCCCAUAGGGGAGUGAAAAAGAAUAUGAAACCGUAUGCUUACAAGCAGUAGGAGGACGAUUUAACGUUUGACUGCGUGCCUGUUGAAGAAUGAGCCGGCGACUCUUUGCAUGUGGCUUGGUUAAUGAGUUCCGCUCAGAAGCCUAAGCGAAAGCGAGUGUGAAUAGCGCGUUUGUCAUAUGUAAAGGACCCGAACCCGGGUGAUCUACCCAUGGGCAGGAUGAAUCCCCAGUAAAAUGGGGUGGAGGUCCGAACCGACUUAUGUUGAAAAAUGAGCGGAUGACCUGUGGGUAGGGGUGAAAUGCCAAUCGAACUCGGAGCUAGCUGGUUCUCCCCGAAAUGCGUUGAGGCGCAGCGGUAAUUUAUGGUCCACAAAGGGGUAAAGCACUGUUUUAAUGCGGGCGGAGAGAUCUGUACCAAAUUAAUGCAAACUCAGAAUACUUUGUGUGAUUUCAAAGUGCCAGUAAGACUGUGGGGGAUAAGCUCCAUUGUCAAGAGGGAAACAGCCCAGACCACCGGCUAAGGCCCCAAAAUGUAUGCUAAGUGGUAAAGGAAGUGACAACGCAAAGACAAUCAGAAGGUUCGCCUAGAAGCAGCUAUCCUUUAAAGAGUUCGUAACAGAUCACUGAUCAAGCGUCGUUGCACCGAAAAUGAAAGGGACUAAGUAUACUGCCGAAGCUGUGGGAUCAACUUUUAAACGUUGAUCGGUAGGGGAGCGUUCUGUUCUUGAUUGAAGCAUGAUCGAAAGGACAUGUGGACAAAACAGAAGUGAGAAUGUCGGCUUGAGUAGCGAAAACAUGGGUGAGAAUCCCAUGCCCUGAGACCCUAAGGUUUCCUCUCGCAAGGCUCGUCCGCGGAGGGUUAGUCAGGAACUAAGGCGAGGCCGAACGGCGUAGUCGAUGACAAUUAGGUUAAUAUUCCUAAACUUUCUAAAAAUUAGUUAUUUGUGACGGCAAUAACAAUUCUAUCAUAGCUGCAUGGUGUUUAUGAUAUCGUUCACAUUGUCCAAGAAAAGCAGAAUAUCAUGUGUUUUUAGAAACCUGUACCAGAAACCGACACAGGUAGGGUGGUUGAGAAGACCAAGGGGCGCGAGUGAACUCUCUCUAAGGAACUCGGCAAAAUGACCCCGUAACUUCGGGAGAAGGGGUGCCUCACCAGCAAUGGGGGGCCACAGUAACAAGACCCAAGCAACUGUUUAUCAAAAACACAGGUCUCCGCAAAGUCGUAAGACAACGUAUGGGGGCUGACGCCUGCCCAGUGCCGGAAGGUUAAUUGCGGUGGUUAGUGAAGAACGAAGCCAUCAAUUGAAGCCCCGGUGAACGGCGGCCGUAACUAUAACGGU
Molecule: ribosomal RNA, 1847 nt
Filed under: Prasinoderma coloniale
Lineage: Eukaryota; Viridiplantae; Prasinodermophyta; Prasinodermophyceae; Prasinodermales; Prasinodermaceae
Description: partial Bacterial large subunit ribosomal RNA
Rfam family: Bacterial large subunit ribosomal RNA
Source: RNAcentral